GGCGUGCUUAACACAUGCAAGUCGAACGCGAACGUUUCCUUCGGGGAACUAGUAGAGUGGCGCACGGGUGAGUAACGCGUAAGUAAUCUACCCUCGCAUCCGGGAUAACCCACCGAAAGGUGUGCUAAUACCUGAUACGUCUGGACUUAUACAUUGAAUUCAGAGAAAGGUGGCCUCUUCAUGAAAGCUACUGUGCGGGGAGGAGCUUGCGUACCAUUAGCUAGUUGGUAGGGUAACGGCCUACCAAGGCGAUGAUGGUUAGCGGGUCUGAGAGGAUGAUCCGCCACACUGGAACUGAAACACGGACCAGACUCCUACGGGAGGCAGCAGUGAGGAAUAUUGCGCAAUGGGGGCAACCCUGAUGCAGCGACGCCGCGUGGAUGAUGAAGGCCUUCGGGUUGUAAAAUCCUGUCAGAUGGGAAGAAGUGACAGUUAGCCAAUACCUGACUGUUUUGACGGUACCAUCAAAGGAAGCACCGGCUAACUCCGUGCCAGCAGCCGCGGUAAUACUGAGGGUGCAAGCGUUAAUCGGAAUUACUGGGCGUAAAGGGAGUGUAGGCGGUUAUCUAAGUCGGAUGUGAAAGCCCUGGGCUCAACCUGGGAAUGGCAUUCGAUACUGGGUAACUAGAGUUUGGUAGAGGUAAGUGGAAUUCCGGGUGUAGCGGUGAAAUGCGUAAAUAUCCGGAGGAACA
RNAcentral lists this ribosomal RNA (692 nucleotides) under uncultured delta proteobacterium. RNAcentral describes it as "bacterial SSU rRNA". It matches the Rfam family "Bacterial small subunit ribosomal RNA", at positions 41 to 708 of the family's 1533-position model. The record is from RNAcentral. Lineage: Bacteria; Deltaproteobacteria.